RNAcentral lists this ribosomal RNA (866 nucleotides) under Bifidobacterium sp. RNAcentral's name for it is "bacterial SSU rRNA". It matches the Rfam family "Bacterial small subunit ribosomal RNA", at positions 15 to 873 of the family's 1533-position model. The record is from RNAcentral. Lineage: Bacteria; Bacillati; Actinomycetota; Actinomycetes; Bifidobacteriales; Bifidobacteriaceae.
GAUCUGGCUCAGAUUGAACGCUGGCGGCAGGCCUAACACAUGCAAGUCGAGCGGUAGCACAGAGAGCUUGCUCUCGGGUGACGAGCGGCGGACGGGUGAGUAAUGUCUGGGAAACUGCCUGAUGGAGGGGGAUAACUACUGGAAACGGUAGCUAAUACCGCAUAACGUCGCAAGACCAAAGUGGGGGACCUUCGGGCCUCAUGCCAUCAGAUGUGCCCAGAUGGGAUUAGCUAGUAGGUGGGGUAACGGCUCACCUAGGCGACGAUCCCUAGCUGGUCUGAGAGGAUGACCAGCCACACUGGAACUGAGACACGGUCCAGACUCCUACGGGAGGCAGCAGUGGGGAAUAUUGCACAAUGGGCGCAAGCCUGAUGCAGCCAUGCCGCGUGUGUGAAGAAGGCCUUCGGGUUGUAAAGCACUUUCAGCGGGGAGGAAGGCGUUAAGGUUAAUAACCUUGGCGAUUGACGUUACCCGCAGAAGAAGCACCGGCUAACUCCGUGCCAGCAGCCGCGGUAAUACGGAGGGUGCAAGCGUUAAUCGGAAUUACUGGGCGUAAAGCGCACGCAGGCGGUCUGUCAAGUCGGAUGUGAAAUCCCCGGGCUCAACCUGGGAACUGCAUUCGAAACUGGCAGGCUAGAGUCUUGUAGAGGGGGGUAGAAUUCCAGGUGUAGCGGUGAAAUGCGUAGAGAUCUGGAGGAAUACCGGUGGCGAAGGCGGCCCCCUGGACAAAGACUGACGCUCAGGUGCGAAAGCGUGGGGAGCAAACAGGAUUAGAUACCCUGGUAGUCCACGCCGUAAACGAUGUCGAUUUGGAGGUUGUGCCCUUGAGGCGUGGCUUCCGGAGCUAACCCGCUAGAUCGACCGCC